GGGAGAAAUUAGAAAUGUAGUUUUUGUUUUGAAUCCCUUGAAAAACUACAGUGACAUAGGAUUUACAUUGCACCUCCUAACUCUUCCAUUGGCUGUCAACAAUCUUUAGGGACUGGUUUCAACCGUCAUCUGUUACCGGGCAGAAAAUUAUGGCUCAGUCAAUCACUGGCCAGUCUGAGGAGAGGUGUCUUAUGACUCGCAUGCACGUGACUUUGUUGUUUUUUUAUUUUUCUUCUGGGAUGAAUACCUAUUGCCCGGUUGUAAAAGUAUCGCAAUUUUACGUAAAAAAAUACCCUAAAGGAUUGAUUGUAAACAUCGUUUGAUGUGUUUCUACAAACGGAAAUGGAACUUUGAACAUUUCGAAUAUGGAUUUGCGUCCACACCACAUGGCAUUGUAAAGUGUUCUGGAUGGGUCAACAAAACGGACGUAUUUGGACAUAAAUGAUGGACUUUGCAGAACAAAUGAACAUUUCUUGUGGAAGUGGGUGCCCAUCCGAGUGCAUUCCGCCAAAGACCAGCAAAGGUAGUCGCCAGUCUACUAACCACCGGUCCAGGCACCAUCAUUACGCACACCUGCUCCCCAUCAUUAUGCACACCUGGACUUCAUCAUCACCUUGAUUACUCUCACUUUAUUUAUCCCUCUGCAGCCUAAGUCAUCAGCCAAUACUGGUUUGGUUCACGUUCAGUACGCUUCACCAGUUUUUUUUAUCUGCCUUGUCCAUGUUUAUUAAACUCACCUUCUGCACCUGAUUUCAAGCGCGUACGUUACAAUCUGUUUGUUGUGAAAAGCACUUCAUAAAAAGUGAAUGUUGGACUCAAACCUCAAAUACAAAUGAUCAAAUAAACACCUGUAUCUCUCUAUGAACGGAUGGUCAUAGAGAGAUGGAAGGUCAUUACAUGAUUGCAUUUUCCCUGAACUUUUACCACGGUCUCACAGUACUUUAACUCCUCCUCCACCAUGUCCACCCAUUGGUCUAUCAUGAAAGAGGAAAGGGGAUGAAUGGGCCAUGGCCAAACACAGUGACUUGCACCUUGGGGACCAUAUUUAACAUGACUGGUCAGAAGCCUGUCAGUAAACGAGACUGUAGAAACAUGGGUAACAACAUGAGGAUAGCAGAGAUCAAAGCUCUUUGGAUGUGCUGUUUGAUCCAACAAUCUUAUUGCUCUCAGCAAUAAGAGAUCAUAUCGUACUAGGAGAUGUAUAAUUGAAAGAUCAUAUCGCAGAUACAGUAGAGCUGUUCUGUUUCAUCAUGUACUGUACAGUAAUAGCCAUCUUAUUUAUGAAUCCCUUUUCUUACAGACCGAAGAUUCUGAGAUCUGUGCAUGUGUUUAUGGGUCAUUCCAAGGAAUAAAUCCCUUUUGAGUCCCUUUGAUAUUUUAAUUAGAAAUUGUGCACCAAUAUUGAACAUUUAAAAGCCUGUUACAUUAAAUGAAGUGCCCUUUAAUAUAGACCACAUGUACAGUUCAGUAAAUCAGAUUUUGUAUAUGAGUAAAGACUUGGUAAAAUGCCAAAAUUGACAAAAGUGACUUCUAGGAAAAUUGUAUCCACAAAAUUCCUCCAAGUUUUCACCAUCAGCAUAAAGCCCUAGUUGCAGUAUUUUGUUGCUUUAACUAAGUGAUUUCUGGAGAUUAUUAUUUAUUUCAUGUGAUUAGUGGUAAAAUAAACUGCUAUGUGAACUUAACUCUCAUUUUAAUAUGGUAAACUAUUAGUUUAUUUUUUUUUCAAAAGAAACAUUGAACAUCUAAUAGUAAAAGCAUAGUGUAAAAGCAGGUGAGCUGGUUCUAAUCUUCUUGGCCAUUUUCUGGUGUGUUGUGUUGGAGAACUGAGCGAGUCAAGCAUAACACGUCAACCCUGUUAUCCAUAGAUAGUCUAGUAAUGUUUUGACAAUUACAUGUUUUUUGAGAAGCGUGCAUUCAAUUGCCCCUCCCUAUUGCACACAAGCUUCCAUUCCUCCUGUCACAAGAGGAUUCAUGGCUGUUAUUAGAUUAAAUCGUCACCCCUGUUACUUUAUUUGGCACUUAAUAGACCCUUCACUAUAGUCAAAAUGGGAAAACUUGUUUUUUUAUUAAGUUGAACAUUUGCUCUUUAUGACAGAAUGUUAAAAUAUUCAAAUGUUUUGUUUUCUACCAAGUUACACUACCCAAAAGGGACUCAUUUGGGGGAAUGUAUGUGUCCCUUAUUAAGUGUUUAGUUAGACGACCCAAAUAAGGUGAAAAUCCACCAUCUAUUGGUUGAAUAUCUCAUCUGUUGCCUGGCUCUGUGCUUCCUUUCUAUGGCGUCACCGCUCUUUGAUGUCAUCAGAUAAUUGCUCCUUUUUGAACUGGGGAUGGAACGCUGGCAUGGCGUUAACCACCAGGAUGUUCUCAUGGCAACCACCUUCAUGUGUGUCAGCUGUAAGCAACUGUUUAUUGUUUCCAGUAAGAGGGAACACUUUAGUCUGUUGAUACGACAUGUAGGCCUGCGAGAAAGGCACUUCUGGGAGUGGAGUGGAGAGGAGAGGAGAGGAGAGGAGAGGAGAG
RNAcentral lists this long non-coding RNA (2520 nucleotides) under Salmo salar (Atlantic salmon). RNAcentral describes it as "lncRNA (ENSSSAG00000095181.1)". The record is from RNAcentral. Lineage: Eukaryota; Metazoa; Chordata; Actinopteri; Salmoniformes; Salmonidae.